AUACCUCACAUUCCCCAGCACGGUUCCGACAGGCCCAUGAGUGGGGAGUCCUCAUGGCCUGGGAAGGUGGCCGAGAAAGUUUGAACAGCUGCAGAGCCUGCCCGUCCACUCUCUCCAGCCACAUUUGUGUGUGUGUGUGUGUGUGUGUGUGUGUGUUGUGUUUUGACCAACCUCUUAGGCUUAUGUAACACACUUGGAAGUCAAGAAGUAAGGACUCAUUACUGACAGCCUCAGAGAGGCUUGCGAAACACUUGCUGUGAAGAAAUCUUUCCAUUGAGAAAAAGUUCCCUGGUGCUCAUGCUCCCAGUGGCUCAGGCCUGGUCUGCACUCAGCGGCUGCCAGGACCUCCCGGGAGCGCCCACACACCCCACAGCCCGCCUGUCCUGGGAAUACCUCUCCAGGCCCUGAAUACCUGUCCCCCACUCCCUGCCUAGGACAACGGGGGCUGUCAGGGCCAUGGGCAGGCCCACCCCACCAACCAGACCCUACGUGGGCCCCGCCUUGGUCCCGGAGCCAAUGUCUGGCUGAUCAGGGAACAAGAGGAGCCUUCAACACCUCAAUUCUGGGACGGUUGAGGUUUUCACACCGGGCCACACCUGAGCCACUAGGAGCCGGGAGGCUCUGAUCGUCUCUCCGCCUGUCUCUCUCUGGCAUCGCCAGGGCUGACUUCAUUCCACGUCCGCGCGGAAACAGCAGGGCUAUCUCAGUGCAAUCCUGGUUUUGUAUUCAGAGCCUCCUCUGAGUGAGUGCCAGGGCGCACCGUGCAAGGAGCCUGGCUUUGCCCACUGCAAUCCCGUGCCCUCACCCUAGUCUUUUAACCUCUCACGACUCAGGUUCCUCAUCUGUGAAAUGGAGCUGUCUUCUUUGUGGGGUUAGUGGAAGCAAUAAGCGAGAAGUGUGUCCACACAGGCCCAGCCUUUCUGGGGCCUCACUGUGACCAGACACUGCGCUUUGGACUAGGGGAUGGGAUGCGACUUAGGGGAGCUGCGGCCACCUGUCUCUGGAGGCUGAAGUCUCCCUGCGGACCACCCUUCCUCAGGACCACCCUUCCUCACUUGCACGUCUCCCCUGCAGUCAGGACUCGCCUGCCCCCACGCCAGGCUCUCCCUAGUGGAUCAGGCUGUACAACCUGGUUUGUAUGAGGAAAGGCAGCCGCUGGGGCCCCAGUGCAGCAAGAGAGGGGAGGAGGAGGUGUUCAGAGGGAAGACCCCUCCCCACCCCCGUUGGCCCCUUGUCUUCAAAGGAAGGGCGUGACCUUUCUGCCCCCCAGACCCACCCUGAGGGUCACUGUGGCGGUGAAGCCUGGUGCCGGCACUUGUGCCCGCCCUCUGACUUGCAGUGUCCCGAGACAUAUUCAGGGGAGCCAGGUAUUCAAUCAGCAAGGCUCCCAACAAGAUGGGGUGGGUGGGAGAAGCACCCACAAUUCUCUAGAAGGCUUUCAGGGCAUUCUUCACUAAAGAGACACAUUGGAGUCUGGAACCCCUCCCCUAGCAGGGGGACACCUCCAAGCUGUGCUCAAAACUGGGACAGGAUAUUUGGGUUGGAGUGUUCUCCGUCUCUGCCUCUCUGUCUCUCUCUCUCCCUUUCUCUCUGUCUCUCUCUCUCUCUCCCUCUCUCCCUGUCUCUCUCUCUCUCUCUCUCUCUCACUCUCUCUUGCUCUCUCUUUCCUCCUGUCUCUCUAAAGGUCUCCUUUCCUCUAAGGGCAAAGCAGCAGCUGUCAGGUCCUUAGAGCAGGAUCCCUGGUUGGUGCAGGCCCAGGGCCAGCCCCUGGUCCCGGCCUUUCUUCCCCUGGGGGAUGAACAGUGAAUGCAGCCGCCCUGGGAGUUGGGCGACCUGCGGGGCUUGGAGGGAAGGGCAGGAGGGCCCAGGGCUGACACAGCACGCCUGGCUGGGGUGGGGGCAGUGGUGUGGGUGGCUGACCACAUUCCUGGGAUGCCGGGCUGCAGGGCUGGGCGGCUGUGUCUACACCUGUCUGCCCCUGUCGGCUGUGAGCAAUGCAGCCAGGGACAGGGCAGCUAGAGCCAUGCUGUGGUCUGGCCAGUGGGCCAGGCACGUGAGCUGGUUCAUGCCCUGCUGCACCAACAACGUUCACCUGGAGAGGUCAGUGGCCUCAUUGAGGGGAAGAAGGGCUCUGUCCCUAGAGUCUAGCAAGCCUGGGCCAUGGUCUGUGGGGCUUGUCAGGGUGACUUCACCUCUGUGAGCCUCAGUUUCCCUCCCUGGAAAGUGGAGCAUAACAUGGGUGGGGUCCCCGGUGCUGGCCUGCAGAGCCCUGGGAGACGUGUGGAGUACAAGCCCCAUACGCUAGGCCAAAAGAUCCGCAGACCAGGCAGCUUAACUGAUAGAAAUGAAAGUCCAAGAUCAAGGUGUCAGCAGGGCAGGCUCCUUCUGAGGCUGCGGGGAAGGAACUGGCCCAGGUUUCUCUCCUUGGCUUGCAGGUGGCCCAUGCCUCUCCACAUCAGCUUCCCUCCCAUGCGGCCUCUGUGCCUGAACUUCCUCUUUUAGUAGGACUGCGGUCAUAUUGGAUUAGGGCCCACCCUAAUGGCCUCCUCAGAACUUGGUGACCACUGUAAAGGCCCUAUCUCCAAAUCAGGAAAUGUUCCGGGGUCCUGGGGGUUAAGACUUCAACACAAACAUCUUGUUGGAGGGGGGUUGCAAUUCAGUCCACACCCGCUUCCCUCGUCUCACUUCGUCCAGCACUCAGCACCCUCUGGCCCUGCCCUUAGCUGUGGGUCUGGAUUUCCCAUCUCUUCCACGGUAAGCCCUGUGAGGGCGGCGUCUUUAUCCCAUUUGCUGUUACACCUGCAAUUCCUGGGGUGCCGGCUUGUUCUCAUCAUUUAGCAGACCAUUGCUGAAUGGCUAACAAAUCCAGGAUACAAUUUGUAGGUGCACCAAGCCAGGCAAGGUAUCUGCGUCACCUGCCCGUCAGUGGCCCCAGGCUGGGAAGACCCCUUGGGUCAUGCUUGGACACUCUGCACCAUGGGCAGCCAGAACUCCUGGCCGAGUGGUCAGCGGCCGCCACACCUUGCUGGAGCAGAGGCACCCCUGCCAUCCCACAGGCAAGACGGACCUAGCUCGGUUUCCCAACACUCUGUUGAGAUGGGGCUGCCCAGAAGCCCACACAAGCCCACACCUGGGGGAAUCCCAGCCCCACGUUCUGGUUCAAGUCGCUGCUGGUUUGGGUUCAGAGCCCAAACAUGAGCUCCUGCUCUUCUUGGUGUGAUCUGAGGCUGUGGAUAUCCUGAGAACAUCUGUCUCAACAGAACACCUUCCUCCAUGUUGCCUAUAUCCCAAAUUCACUCCCAAGUGGCUUUUGUCUGGCAGAUUCCGGUGGAUUAUGCAAAGAGGGACUGCCAGAGAAUCUGAGCUGUUGGAAGACUUCUGAAACGUCACUGCGGUGGCGGAGGCACUGCCCCGGGGGGACAAAAGUCUUGUCUCUUCCUCCAAAUGUGGAGGAUCAAAUUAGAGUUGACUUGUGUGUUUCCAAACCCGUUGUCGUCCCAGCAUUCAACUAAUUUGAAGAUACCAAAAGCCUCAGAAGAGGGUGGCAGAAGAAGAAAGGGACAAACACAAAAGGGGAAGGACAAGAGGGCAGACCGUUAAAAAAAAAAAAAACCUACAAGAAUGCAGUUUGCUCCUGGGUGGACCCUCCCACCCCGUGCCUGCCCCGAGCUGGCCCCUGACCUGUGCCGGCAGCUCAAAUUCCUAACAUCUGGCCCAGGGUCUCAGGUGUCACCUCUUGAAAAUUCAAAGGAGGAUCCUUCGAAUUCAUGAACCAGCAACCUCCCAGGAGGUGGGUCUUCCCACCCUGCACCAUCCGGCCUUAGGAAUUCAGUCUGGAGCCCUCCCUCCCCAGGGCCUGGGGCCUGGAAGUCGGAGCCAGCCAGAGCAGGGAAGGGUCGGGCCCUGGAAAUCCAGAGUGGCCUGCCUGGGCCGGGGUGGGGCUGGGCAUGGGGAGGCGUGGGUCCUGUCGGGGUUGGGACCAGCGCUCCAGCUUCCCUAGCUGAUUUGAGCAUUUAAUUUUAAUUCCACAAAUAGAGAAAAAGAAAGAAAACUCCUGAAAGUCGCGGCAGAUCCUCACGGCUCUGCAGAUGUCCUGCGGAGGUUGAGCCUCUGCACUUUGGCCUCAGCUGCCCAGGUACCAGUCUCAGCUACUGUCACUGGCGGUGUGGCCUGGGCAGCCAUGUCCCCUCCCCAGGCCUCAGUCUCCCAGUGUGUCAAAUAUCUGCCCCGUCUCAGGUCUCAUUCUGCUGCUUCCCCCUUGUGAUCAUACCCUGCCCCUCCCCACUCCCCAAGGACUUCUUGGCCUUAGCCCACAAACCUAUGCAGGUGGUUCCAUCAGAGACUGUCCCCCCCAGCCACCCCAGCCCUCAUCCUAAGUCCCAUGCUCCCCUCCCCUGCAGGAGGCCACUCCGUCCUCCUAGUACUCUCUUCUCCCAGCAUCUCCAGUUCUCCACUGCCCGCUUUUCCUGCUGCCCCACUUGCUGGUCCCCUGGAGUCCCCCAGACAUCAUCGCUCCUGCAGUCAGCAAGGAUUUGGUGGGUGCCUGUUGAGGGGGCCGCUCCUCUGGGGCUGGAGUGCAGCGAUGCGUGAAACAUUAUGAUCCCUGAUCGCCUGGGGCUUCUGGUCCCAUGGGAUUUGAGGGUUCCUUGGUUUUUUUCUCUUUCAACCCUUCUUCUCCCUGGGUGACCUCAUCAGUUCCCAUGGAUUGAAAUAUCCUUAUGCCAAUGACUUCCAAAUUUGUCUCUUCAGCCAUGACCUCUCCUCCAAACUCUGGACCCAUAUAUCCGGCCAUCCACUUGACAUCUCCCUUUGGGGUCUCCCAGACAUGUCAAGCAGAUCGUGUCCAAGCUGGUGUCCAAUCCUUUCCCAGGCAACUCAACUCCCAUCUUCCCCAUCUCAGUAAAUCCCACUGCCACCCCUCCACUAGCUCCAUCCAGAAACCUCUACAAUCUCCUUGCUUCUCCCUGUCCAUAUCCACGAUCAGGAAUCCAUCCACAGACCUGUGCAUCCUGUCUCUGCAGAUCCACAGCCUCACCCCCAUCAGCACCCCGGUCCAUAGAGAGAGACCUGGUGACACAGAUGGUACUUCAGAGAGAGGACAUGAAUGGUGUCUCUAGUCAUGAGAGUCAGGGUUUAGGUUGAAGCUACUCCGCCAGGGAGAAGUGGAGAUCCAGGGCCCAUCCAGGGACACGCAGGGAGAAACCGCUUCCCCCAGCCUCAGGGUGGAGCCCCUGGUUACCCUCUGAGCCCCAGAGCCUUGUGUCCCCAGGGAGGCAGAGGGUGGAAAAGACUGAUGGGUAGAGAGAGUGAGAGCAUCAAGACCCCUCUACACUGCAGUACAAGAGGCUCCCUUUUGGGUGGGCGUGACAGGAGACAUCCCAGUACGUGGAUCCCAGCCUUUGGACUUGGUGACUGUGAUCAGCUAAGAGUAAAACUGUUCUUGCUUUAUUCUUCUGGGAAAGGGCUACACCUGCUGGGUUCCACACCAGGUGAAGACCGGGCAGGUAUUCUAUUCAAAAGGGUGUGGCUUUGCCACCCAUUUGACAGGAGAGAAAACGGAGGCAUGGAGUUACCAGGAUGUGAGCAGCACAGCAGAGCAGUCCUGUUCAGGGCCUCACACUCCCUCCCCACAGCCCCCUUCCUGACCCUACAGCCCCCGUUCCAGGCAGUUCCUAGCACCAUAAGGUAAGUGGACAAGCCUCACUCUGGAAGGAGAGCACAGGGCCCUGUCCCUCCUGGGGGCCCGCUGAGAAGCACAGUGGAGUUCUCCAGGGACCACCAUCACACCGAGGACACGUUACCAUAAAGAAAGGGCCCCUGCUCACACACAUUUCCCAGUCACUAGCAGUGAGCACGUGGCAGCCUCCAGCAGCUCGGAUUCCUCCAGGCCACACCCUAGACCUGGCCACCCACAUUCUGGCUUCUCAGGGCACAUGGAGCAGCCAUUCCCCUGGGCUCUGGGCCCCAGGCACAAGAGACCCAGGCUUGCAGCUGUUUUGCAGAGAGUAAGGGCAAAAUGGAAGCUGCAGUGAUGAGGGAGAAGGUGCUGGGGAGAGGGAGAGAGAUAGCUGGAUGGGCAGGGCCGCUGUUGCUGGGACCUCAGCCCCAGGACGGGCAUCCUUUCAGCAAAAUCUUUGCUGGGCAGCUAUGGUGGGCUAGACACUGUGAGGUGAUGGCGUCUGGGCAAGACCUACAGGACAGGGGACGCGCAGCCCAGUGGGAAAGACAGGGAAUCAGCUCAACCGUCCACCAUGGGCCAUGUCAGAUCCAGUUAUCCUACCAUCCAGAAGCAGGGGGCCAGGAGGUUAAAUGACGUGCUGGUGGCCAUGGUGUGGGGGCAGAAGGGCCAGGGUUCAAAGCCAUACCCCUUUGAACAGAACAGGUGUAGCCUAUUUACCCGCCUCUCCCUCCAUCCAUCUGCACAUUAAUUCAUUCAUUCAUUCAUUCAUUCAUUCGCUGAGCACCUGCUAUGUGCUGGGCCCUGCUCUCAAGAAGUUUGGAUUCUGGUGGGGAGGAAAGAAAAAAUAUCCAGGUUCAUCAGACAAGCAAAUAAUACAACUACAAAAGUUGUCAAGAGUCUCCUGGAAGAGAAGGAGCUGGCUAUGUGGGGCCUGCACACACACGUAUGCAUAUAUUCACAUGCAUGUUCAUCCAUGUACACAUGUGUGCAUGCAUGUCUGUGUGUGCUUUGAGCAUGACUGUACCUGUGUAUCUGUGUGUGCACAGAUGUGCAUGUGCACGUGUCUAUCUGAGUGUGUCUGUGUGCAGGCAGGUUUCAUGGAUGUUUCUGUGCCUGCAUACAUGUGUGUGAGUGUGUGUGCAUGUGUGAAUGUGAAUGUAAUUCCCAACAGAGGUAUGAACAUAGCUCAGAGGUGGGUGGACUCAGUGGGAUGUGCUUUAGGGAGGAAAAGAGGCCCAGUGUGCCAGGGGUCAGGGCGUGGGGCAUUGAGGGGUUUCGGGAGGAAGGAGCACGUGGAGGCCAAGCUGUGAAAACCCUGUAGACCAUGAGAGGAAUUUGAGUUUUAUUCAAAAUGCAAAGGGAGCCAACAGAGGAAUUUCCACAUGGCUAGAAAAAAGCACACAGCCAUGGGACUGUGGGGAGCACGGAGUGGAGGGGGUGUGAGUGGAGGCAGAUGGCCAGGCCAGAGGCCAGCACUGCACCUGCCCAGGUGAGAAAGGCUGGGAGAUGAGAAGGAAACCCACACUGACCAAGAUUAAAAACAAUACGAUACAAGGAAUUAACAGCAGAUGAGACAGUGUAAAAAAAAAUAAUAAUAAUGAACUUAAAAACACAGUCAUAGAAAUUCUCCAAAAUGGAAUACAAGGAGAAAAAAGACUUAAAAAAAAGACAAGGAAGAACAGAACAGCAGUGAGUUCUGGGACAUCAAGUAGCCUAGCAUAGGUAACUGGAGUCCCCAAUGAACCCCAGUGAGCGUGACCCAGUAUCCGCCUAGUAGGACGCUGAAAUAAAAAUGACUGACCGACUCAGUGCCAGCGAGGACAUGGGGCCACUGGACCCCUCCCACACCACGGGUACCAGCUCUUUGGAAACCUCUUCUGCAGAUUCUUCCAAAGCUAAAUAUCCAUCUAUGUGUGACUCAGCCAUUCCACUCCUGGGUAUUCUCCAAAGGGAGAUUAAAGUGCACAGCCUCCCCAAAUCUCGUACACAAAGGUUCCCAGCGGCUUUAUUUGUAACAGCCCCAAGCUGGAAACCACCCAAAUGCCCAUCAGCAGGUGCUUGGGUAAGCAGAGGCCUGGGGUCACCGUUGGUUCAGCUGUUGGCCUCUCCUUCUGUCUCUCCAAGCGCCCUAGGGCAAGUGGCAUCUUCAAGCUGAGCCUUGGUUUCCUUUCCUGUGAAGUGGGUCUAGUGAGUGGGCCUGAUUUGAGGUGGUGGGCAGGAUCAGCGUGGCAUCACUGGGGAAGCUCGCAGCCGAGUGUGAAGGGCCCGGCAUGGAGGGGUGGAAGAUGUCAGGCUCCAAGCAGCCCCCGACGCUGGCAGUGCUCAGGCUGACCCUUGGCUGCCUCAGCUCUGGGAACCCCAUGCAGCACGAGGCGUCGGGGCAGGUAGUGGGGCCAUAGGAGGCGGCAGGGCCUGGGCUGUGGCCCCGUUCCCUGAAGGGCUCCGUGUGUUCCAUGCAGCGGGCAGGGUCAGGGGUCAUGUUUAAACGCGGGGGAGCCCAGGGCAGUACCUCCAGGCCGCAUGCUAUCCAAGUGGCGUGGGCAGGCGGCCCCUUGGAUGGUCUCGGGACAGCACAGCAAGGCCCUGGGCACUCACCUGACCAGUCACGUUGGGGCCGCCUGAGGGAACAGGCAGGCAGAUCCAACCCAUGGUGGGGGGCUGGGACUUAGGAUGGUUUGAGGGGUGCGCCGAAAGCCUGGGAAGGAGCCUGGGUGGGAGAGUGGAUGCCCGGCACACACACUCGAGUGGACCAGAGGCGGUUGGCUAGGCCACAGCUAUCCCGUGCCCAGCACCCUGGUAGCCAGUUCAGAGUGACUGUCCCAGCCCUAGCUGAGGGUAUGCAGCCAAAGCAGGGCACACCUGGUGUUUCUGGAAACCCCUCUCCCCAUGCCACUGCGUGCCAGCUCCAGUGGCCCCCGUGUCGGUCCUUAGGACUCUGGCCACCCACACGCUGAGCUCCCACAGGGCAGGUCCAAUGCCCAGCACACAGGGGAAGCUCAGCCCAUGUGCCGGCGGAACGGUGAGAUGGGUGUGAAUGAACAAAUGAAGCAUCUCUCUCCCCCUCCCCUCCCCAGCUUCUCAACCACAGAAUCUGUGCCUGGCUCAGGAAAUGUACCCUUCGUGUGGGUUUUCUAUUGCUGCGUAACAAAUGGUCACCAAUUGAAAAGCUUAAAAUGGCAUUUAUCUAUUGUCUUAAAG
This 8878-nucleotide long non-coding RNA is filed under the name Homo sapiens (human). Its description in RNAcentral is "non-protein coding lnc-ORAOV1-3:6". The record is from RNAcentral. Lineage: Eukaryota; Metazoa; Chordata; Mammalia; Primates; Hominidae.